RNAcentral lists this ribosomal RNA (253 nucleotides) under uncultured bacterium. RNAcentral's name for it is "partial 16S ribosomal RNA". It matches the Rfam family "Bacterial small subunit ribosomal RNA", at positions 524 to 776 of the family's 1533-position model. The record is from RNAcentral.
UACGUAGGUGGCAAGCGUUGUCCGGAUUUACUGGGCGUAAAGGGCGUGCAGGCGGUUUGUUAAGUCGAGUGUGAAAGCCCCCGGCUCAACUGGGGAGGGUCAUUCGAUACUGAUCGACUCGAAGGCAGGAGAGGGAAGUGGAAUUCCCGGUGUAGUGGUGAAAUGCGUAGAUAUCGGGAGGAACACCAGUGGCGAAGGCGACUUCCUGGCCUGUUCUUGACGCUGAGGCGCGAAAGCUAGGGGAGCAAACGGG